Molecule: ribosomal RNA, 391 nt
Filed under: uncultured soil bacterium
Lineage: Bacteria
Description: bacterial SSU rRNA
Rfam family: Bacterial small subunit ribosomal RNA
Source: RNAcentral
AGGACGAACGCUGGCGGCGUGCCUAACACAUGCAAGUCGAACGAGGUCCAUGUAGUGGCAACACUACGGAAGGCCUAGUGGCGAACGGGUGAGUAACACGUGAGGAACUUGCCCCGGAGACCGGGAUAACUCUUCGAAAGGGGAGCUAAUACCGGAUGUUCUCACCGAGUCGCAUGGCUUGGUGAGGAAAUGGAUUCCGCUCCGGGAGAGCCUCGCGGCCUAUCAGCUAGUUGGAGGGUAACGGCCCACCAAGGCAUCGACGGGUAGCUGGUCUGAGAGGACGAUCAGCCACACUGGGACUGAGACACGGCCCAGACUCCUACGGGAGCAGCAGUGGGGAAUCUGCGCAAGUGGGACGAAAGCCUGACGCAGCAACGCCGCGUGGCGGGAU